AGCAGCCGCGGUAAUUCCAGCUCCAAUAGCGUAUAUUAAAGUUGUUGCAGUUAAAAAGCUCGUAGUUGAAUUUCGGGAUCAAUAUGUUGGUCGUGCCUCGGUACGUACUAGCUUAUUGGUUUCUCCUUUCUGAAGAACCAUGAUGUCAUUUAUUUGGUGUCGUGGGGAAUCAGGACUGUUACUUUGAAAAAAUUAGAGUGUUUAAAGCAGGCUCACGCUUGAAUACAUUAGCAUGGAAUAAUGAAAUAGGACGUUUGAUUCUAUUUUGUUGGUUUUUAGGAUCGACGUAAUGAUUAAUAGGGAUAGUUGGGGGCAUUAGUAUUCAAUUGUCAGAGGUGAAAUUCUUGGAUUUAUUGAAGACUAACUACUGCGAAAGCAUUUGCCAAGGAUGUUUUCAUUAAUCAAGAACGAAAGUUAGGGGAUCGAAGACGAUCAGAUACCGUCGUAGUCUUAACCAUAAACUAUGCCGACUAGG
RNAcentral lists this ribosomal RNA (475 nucleotides) under uncultured Glomus. RNAcentral's name for it is "SSU rRNA". It matches the Rfam family "Eukaryotic small subunit ribosomal RNA", at positions 569 to 1050 of the family's 1831-position model. Lineage: Eukaryota; Fungi; Glomeromycota; Glomeromycetes; Glomerales; Glomeraceae. The record is from RNAcentral.